RNAcentral lists this ribosomal RNA (462 nucleotides) under uncultured bacterium. Its description in RNAcentral is "bacterial SSU rRNA". It matches the Rfam family "Bacterial small subunit ribosomal RNA", at positions 30 to 521 of the family's 1533-position model. The record is from RNAcentral.
AUUGAACGCUGGCGGCAGGCCUAACACAUGCAAGUCGAGCGGGGUUUUCGGACCUAGCGGCGGACGGGUGAGUAAUGCGUAGGAAGCUACCCGAUAGAGGGGGAUACCAGUUGGAAACGACUGUUAAUACCGCAUAAUGUCUACGGACCAAAGUGUGGGACCUUCGGGCCACAUGCUAUCGGAUGCGCCUACGUGGGAUUAGCUAGUUGGUGGGGUAAUGGCUCACCAAGGCGACGAUCCCUAGCUGGUUUGAGAGGAUGAUCAGCCACAUUGGGACUGAGACACGGCCCAAACUCCUACGGGAGGCAGCAGUGUGGAAUAUUGGACCAAUGGGGCGCAAGCCUGAUCCAGCCAUGCGCGUGAGUGAUGAAGGCCUUAGGGUUGUAAAGCUCUUUGUUCCGGGAAGAUAAUGACUGUACCGGAAGAAUAAGCCCCGGCUAACUUCGUGCCAGCAGCCGCGGU